This 510-nucleotide ribosomal RNA is filed under the name uncultured bacterium. RNAcentral describes it as "partial 16S ribosomal RNA". It matches the Rfam family "Bacterial small subunit ribosomal RNA", at positions 28 to 507 of the family's 1533-position model. The record is from RNAcentral.
GACGAACGCUGGCGGCGUGCUUAACACAUGCAAGUCGAACGAAGAGCGAUGGAAGCUUGCUUCUAUCAAUCUUAGUGGCGAACGGGUGAGUAACGCGUAAUCAACCUGCCCUUCAGAGGGGGACAACAGUUGGAAACGACUGCUAAUACCGCAUACGAUCUAAUCUCGGCAUCGAGGAUAGAUGAAAGGUGGCCUCUACAUGUAAGCUAUCACUGAAGGAGGGGAUUGCGUCGGAUUAGCUAGUUGGAGGGGUAACGGCCCACCAAGGCGAUGAUCAGUAGCCGGUCUGAGAGGAUGAACGGCCACAUUGGGACGGAGACACGGCCCAGACGCCUACGGGAGGCAGCAGUGGGGAAUCUUCCGCAAUGGGCGAAAGACUGACGGAGCAACGCCGCGUGAGUGAGGACGGCCUUCGGGUUGUAAAGCUCUGUUAAUCGGGACGAAAGGCCUUCUUGCGAAUAGUGAGAAGGAUUGACGGUACCGGAAUAGAAAGCCACGGCUAACUACGUG